This is a long non-coding RNA of Gambusia affinis (western mosquitofish), 822 nucleotides long. RefSeq lists it as uncharacterized. The transcript is spliced from 3 exons. Lineage: Eukaryota; Metazoa; Chordata; Actinopteri; Cyprinodontiformes; Poeciliidae. The record is from RefSeq and is a predicted model, not a curated record.
CGGGGAGCAGUAGUCGUCCGUUCCUUCGGACGCUAACAUUUUGCUUCCUGUCCGAGGUCGGUUUGCUUUCAGCUGCUUUUAAAAGGAGGAGCGCAUUCAAACUGCAGAAACGGAGCUGAAGUUCAAAUGAAGCCGCACCGGAAUAAAAACAGGCAUCGUUUGUGAUGCAGCAGCCGCUCGGACCGCGUCUCAUUUUAGUCAUGGAUGCUUUCCAACCGUCGCUCAGCUCUCAGUGAAAUGAGACGUCGCUCAUCCUGACAGCCGCAGAUGUGGAUUUCUGAGAGCAUGUAAAAGUUUUAUAAUCUCUUUCACAAGUUUUGGAGGACGAGGCUUAAAGUUCAGGCUCAGAUCUUACUGUGGCACCAAGACGAGGCUUUCGGGGUCAGAAAAGUCAAUCAGAAAACACAGCUUUGGAAAAGUGUAAAUAAGGGAUAAACUUUUCAAAAUGAGAUCCACUUUUAAUCAAACUGCUGCCACAACUGUGCAUGCAGGAUUUAGUAUAAAUAAAAAACAGUUAGUGAAAAAUAGAAGAUAUUAAUAAUGUAACUGCUGUGGGAAGAUCAGAAAAGUUUUUAUUUUUAUCUCAAAUACUUUAUUGACAUUUCUUAUUUUUUCUUUUUCCUAAUAUUAAGAUAUUAUCUAUGAGACUGUUAAAUUUUAAUUUAAAAAGAUGGGGCCUAAAAUAAUUCCCUGUGGAACUACUGCUUCAAUUAUUUUCACUUAAUACAUAAAAUCUGUCUUUAAUGAUGUUGAAACUAAUAUUCCAACAGGAGAUGCUGACAUUUUUAACCAGAAAUGUUCAUUACAUUAUCCGGUUGUUUA